Prunus mume (Japanese apricot) is the source of this 969-nucleotide non-coding RNA. The record is from RefSeq and is a predicted model, not a curated record. NCBI's taxonomy places the organism in Eukaryota, Viridiplantae, Streptophyta, Magnoliopsida, Rosales, Rosaceae.
UGUAGCAUUGACCCAAUACACAUUGAUGAUCCUCUUUUCCCAACUAAUAAUGUGGGGCGCAAUUGCUUCCGGAUACAUCAGUGUAUCAAGGCAUUUUCAGAAGCAUAUUCUAUUUUGGAGAAUGAGCUUGCUUCUCUUCCCAUUGAUGAUGGUGAUUUAUGUUCAAGGCCCUCAUAUAGACUGCUUUCUAAAAUCAUCCCGAGUAUUGAUCUAUCAUAGCGAUGCUUAUUGCAUGGAAAGUUGUAUGCCUUUGAAGGGGAAAUCUAAAUCAUUGAUCAAGCUAAAGUGUUCUUUUGGUGCGAACCGGAGGUUGCAAUAUGAUUGCCUUCCACACUUUUGAUGCAGAUACGAACUCUCCUUGUUACGGUUCUGCUACAGGGUUUGUCCAGAAAAAAGCAAGGUUCAGCGAACCACCAAAUCACUAUGAAUUUUUUCACAGGUUAGGUGCAGCCAUAUUGUCGUUAAAGACUGGAUUUUCACCUAUCAUGCAACUGUUCCAAGUUCAUAUUUGCCGAAUUUGCUUGAUGAUCUUGACGUCAUGUGAUCGGUAGUUUCCUGAGAUAUAUUUAUACCCCGGAGUGGUGAGGAUGGCCAAUAAGGCUGAUCUUGUGGAGGGGACCAGGAACAACCUGAAAACGGGCUCAUAUCCGAUUCUCCAGGUCAGCCCUCAGGCUUGAUUCUGCAGGUCACUACACUGAAAAUGAACAUUUGAGCUGAAAAAAUCUUAAACCAAUUGUACACAUAGGUGUAUAAAUCUUAUACCAAUCGUACAUAUGUUUACGUCAAAGUCAGGUUGAUAUCAUCUGACUAGCAUAGAUUUUGAGUACUUGUCAAAAAUUAAACUGUAGAUUGUGUGUAGCUUAGCUAUUUACCUAGCACAAGAUAGAGGUGGGUCAGUAGUUAGAUGAUUAUACUUUGUGAAGUAACAGAAAUGUAUUGGGAUUAGGAUAAAAAAAUUAUUCAACUGUA